GCGGCGGACGGGUGAGUAACACGUGGGCAACCUGCCCUGAAGCGGGGGAUAACAUCUGGAAACAGGUGCUAAUACCGCAUAACAACGAAAACCACAUGGUUUUCGUUUCAAAGAUGGUUUCGGCUAUCACUUCAGGAUGGGCCCGCGGUGCAUUAGCUAGUUGGUAAGGUAACGGCUUACCAAGGCGAUGAUGCAUAGCCGAGUUGAGAGACUGAUCGGCCACAAUGGAACUGAGACACGGUCCAUACUCC
This 251-nucleotide ribosomal RNA is filed under the name uncultured Lactobacillus sp. RNAcentral's name for it is "partial 16S ribosomal RNA". It matches the Rfam family "Bacterial small subunit ribosomal RNA", at positions 95 to 339 of the family's 1533-position model. The record is from RNAcentral. Lineage: Bacteria; Bacillati; Bacillota; Bacilli; Lactobacillales; Lactobacillaceae.